AGAGUUUGAUCAUGGCUCAGGACGAACGCUGGCGGCGCGCCUAACACAUGCAAGUCGAACGAGCGAGAGAGAGCUUGCUUUCUCGAGCGAGUGGCGAACGGGUGAGUAACGCGUGAGGAACCUGCCUCAAAGAGGGGGACAACAGUUGGAAACGACUGCUAAUACCGCAUAAGCCCACGGCUCGGCAUCGAGCAGAGGGAAAAGGAGCAAUCCGCUUUGAGAUGGCCUCGCGUCCGAUUAGCUAGUUGGUGAGGUAACGGCCCACCAAGGCGACGAUCGGUAGCCGGACUGAGAGGUUGAACGGCCACAUUGGGACUGAGACACGGCCCAGACUCCUACGGGAGGCAGCAGUGGGGAAUAUUGCACAAUGGGGGAAACCCUGAUGCAGCGACGCCGCGUGGAGGAAGAAGGUCUUCGGAUUGUAAACUCCUGUUGUUGAGGAAGAUAAUGACGGUACUCAACAAGGAAGUGACGGCUAACUACGUGCCAGCAGCCGCGGUAAAACGUAGGUCACAAGCGUUGUCCGGAAUUACUGGGUGUAAAGGGAGCGCAGGCGGGAAGACAAGUUGGAAGUGAAAUCUAUGGGCUCAACCCAUAAACUGCUUUCAAAACUGUUUUUCUUGAGUAGUGCAGAGGUAGGCGGAAUUCCCGGUGUAGCGGUGGAAUGCGUAGAUAUCGGGAGGAACACCAGUGGCGAAGGCGGCCUACUGGGCACCAACUGACGCUGAGGCUCGAAAGUGUGGGUAGCAAACAGGAUUAGAUACCCUGGUAGU
RNAcentral lists this ribosomal RNA (773 nucleotides) under uncultured bacterium. RNAcentral's name for it is "bacterial SSU rRNA". It matches the Rfam family "Bacterial small subunit ribosomal RNA", at positions 8 to 794 of the family's 1533-position model. The record is from RNAcentral.